Molecule: ribosomal RNA, 468 nt
Filed under: uncultured bacterium
Lineage: Bacteria
Description: partial 16S ribosomal RNA
Rfam family: Bacterial small subunit ribosomal RNA
Source: RNAcentral
GACGAACGCUGGCGGCGUGCUUAACACAUGCAAGUCGAACGGAAAGGCCCUGCUUUUGUUGGGUGCUCGAGUGGCGAACGGGUGAGUAACACGUGAGUAACCUGCCCUUUACUGUGUGAUAACUUCAGGAAACGGGGGCUAAUACCUGAUAUGAGCUCCUGCUACAGGGUGGGGGUUGGAAAGUUUCGGCGGUUGGGGCUGGACUCGCGGCUUAUCAGCUUGUUGGUGGGGUAGUGGCUUACCAAGGCUUUGACGGGUAGCCGGCAUGAGAGGGUGACCGGCCACAUUGGGACUGAGAUACGGCGCAGACUCCUACGGGAGGCAGCAGUGGGGAAUAUUGCACAAUGGGCGGAAGCCUGAUGCAGCAACGCCGCGUGCGGGAUGCCGGCCUUCGGGUUGUAAACCGCUUUCGACUGUGACGAAGCGUGAGUGACGGUAAUGGGUAAAGAAGCACCGGCUAACUACGUG